Molecule: RNA transcript, 541 nt
Organism: Arachis duranensis
Lineage: Eukaryota; Viridiplantae; Streptophyta; Magnoliopsida; Fabales; Fabaceae
Exons: 3
Source: RefSeq, a predicted model, not a curated record
UUCAUCAUAGUAGAGUUCAAGUUCAAUGUCCCAAUUUAAUGGAGGAGAAUAGUACUGCUCAAGAAAAUCCCAAUUUGACGGAGCAGAAUAGAACUAUUCACGAAAGUCCCAAUUUGAUGGCGCAUAACAGUAUUGCUCAUAGUUAUGAGAGGGGUGAUUCAAAAGAUAACUUGUCCACCAGAGUGCAGUUAAGAAGGAGGAAAAGAAAAUGGUCUUCAUUGGAAGAGGAGACACUAAGAACCGGUGUAAAACCGUAUGUGCUAGCUCUAAACUAGUCAAAUCAAAAUGUUUCAGGGUGAACAGUCUUGGACGUUUGGCGAAGGAAACUGGGGCAACCAUUCCAUUUAAGAGGUGUUCUCCUCUAACAAAUUUCAGGGACAUCAAUCUAAGAUUAUUUGAGAAGCUUGACAUAGAAAGAAACGAUGAUAACAUUUUGAUAUUUUUUUUCACUAGUUCUCAUAUUUUAACUCUCUGCCUAUCAUACCGUUUGCUUUAAUCACCAAAAAACGUAAUUCUUAUAAAAUAACAAACAUUUAUAGAC